Molecule: ribosomal RNA, 256 nt
Filed under: uncultured bacterium
Lineage: Bacteria
Description: partial 16S ribosomal RNA
Rfam family: Bacterial small subunit ribosomal RNA
Source: RNAcentral
UACGUAGGGUGCAAGCGUUUGUCCGGAAUUAUUGGGCGUAAAGAGCUCGUAGGCGGUUUGUCGCGUCUGCUGUGAAAACUCAGGGCUUAACCCUGAGCCUGCAGUGGGUACGGGCAGACUAGAGUGUGGUAGGGGAGAUCGGAAUUCCUGGUGUAGCGGUGGAAUGCGCAGAUAAUCAGGAGGAACACCGGUGGCGAAGGCGGAUCUCUGGGCCAUAACUGACGCUGAGGAGCGAAAGCAUGGGGAGCGAACAGGA